This is a long non-coding RNA of Helianthus annuus (common sunflower), 2464 nucleotides long. RefSeq lists it as uncharacterized. The record is from RefSeq and is a predicted model, not a curated record. NCBI's taxonomy places the organism in Eukaryota, Viridiplantae, Streptophyta, Magnoliopsida, Asterales, Asteraceae. The transcript is spliced from 11 exons.
CCUUCUCACGUAAGUUUCUUCAAAUCGCCAUCUCUCUUCUUUCCCAUUUUAAUUUCAUCUUCCAUACACGCUCAUUAUUCACAUUCAUCUUCCACCGCUUUCUCUCUCAUCUUAUUUCUCUAUGUUCUCUCAAUUGACCUCAUUCUGCUUUCAUCGUUCAAUAGGAAACCCUAGCAUUACACACUACACAUCAGAUCCUCUUCGUUCAUCCUAUUGAAAUUGACUGAUAAUUCUUUUGGGUCGACAAUUCCCUAUCUUCAAGAUUUGGAAUCAAGUGAUGGAGUCGCAGAUUAUUGACAGCUAGGAUUGCUUCUGUUACGUUGACUAUCGUAAUUUCCACUUAGCGUCAUUACACAAACAACAACAACAAGCCCUAAGGCUAUCAUCUGGUUUUUUUCAUUACUUACGGAUUGAGUUUAAUCUUAGGAUUUUGUGGGUUUCUGCGUAUUGGAUCUUUUUACUGCUCCCACGCACAAAUGUCGUCUCCAUCAAGGUGAUUUUGUAUGGGGCUGAUCAAAGAGAGUUUAUCGCAUCUGGAAAACCUCUACUUUCAUAGGGCUAAGCAACCAUACGCUCUCCUUUUGUCCCAAUCUUUGCUUUAUCGUAAACUACAGAAUAAUAUUGGGAGCUUGCUGAACGGGAUGCAGUCACUGGAGUCUUGCGUGCGUGGUGUGGAAUCAAAACUCGAUGAAAUUUUGUUUGACUUGGCAAAGUCAAUUAGAUGGGUGUCACAAGUUACCGGGUGUAGAUCUUUUUAGCUCUACACUCUGGAUGAAAUUAGAACAAGGAGCUUGAAUCUUCAAACCGCUCGAUUCCAUCUUCGUAUCGGGCUAAUUAAGAACCCCUUGACAGAGUCAUUUGGGGCUUUAUUGUGAUAUCUUGGAUGAAGUCAGAACUUUGAUCGUGUAUGGUGAUCAAACAAGGCUUCCACAAGCUUUGACCAACUUUUGAUCACUACAACCAUGAGGAAAUGUUCACAUAUGCAAUACCUAAUUAUUAUGUCUAUUGUCAAGAGCCGAAGAUCUUGAACAUCUAUGUUAAAGGGAAUUUAAAAUUGAAAUGCUCUUGCUUGGCUCAUUCACAACUGGUGCCAUUUUGUUGGUAGUUAUUUUUUGCCUUCAUGUUCCUUGUGAAGAAUUUUAAAACUAGCAUGAAACAUGAUCAAUAUCUACAGGAUGGACUCUCAGAGAUUAUAUAUUCAGGGCUAUGUUUGAUCCGUAACCAAGUCACUAAUAAACGGGUUAUGUUUAAUAUGGUUACUCUCAUCAGUAUUCUUGAAGUUGGAUGACGCUUUGAGAAAUGAGUUUUGCCCAGAAAAAGUUACCAUACACAUCUCCUAAUUCAAAUCACCAGUAAUAUUAAAAGUUAACUCCUUUUUUUACUAUUUUCUUUUAUACCAAGGGCUACUCUUGAUUAAUUUAUGCAUUAGGAACUUUUUUUUGUCGUUCUGGUUAAUAUAAUCCUACAAGUUGCAAAUUGGACGGGCUGCGUACUGGGUCAAAACAGAUUGGGAAAUGACUUUUGCUGUUUGAGAUUUAGUUAAGCAAUCGCUUUGUUCAUACUUUAAGAAUAUAUUAUCUUUUUCCACUUUGAAAAUAAAAAGAGUAAAGGAGUGAAAGUUGAUCUAAAUGUUAAUUAGAGAAAGCUUGAAUUGUUCAAUUUUAAUAAACUGAUAAAUUUAUUUUGGUUUUUAUUUGAACCUAUAACAAUAGAGUUUGAAGAACAAUGGACUAAUUGCAAAGUAGAUGGAUGGAAGGAUAAGGCUCAAGAAAAUGAAUAUGUUCGUGAGCAAAAUACACCAGUUGAUCUAGACGAUUAUGGCAGAGUUGAUGAAUUGGUUGAACCUGGUACUAAAUAUCUAAAUGAGAAUAUGGUUACACAAUGAACAUAACAGAAAAGAGUGACGUCUAUAGUUACAGAGUGGUGUUACUAGAGAUCUUAAGUGGACGUAGUGCGGUCGAGAAUCGGGUCAGGGGGUUUCACAUAUAGUCGAGUGGGUCAAAAAGAAAAUGGUUAGUUUUGAGCCCGCGGUCACCAUACUAGACGCCAAGUUUCAAGGGAUUCCGGAUCAAAUGGUCCAAGAAAUGCUACUAACGCUUGGGAUCGCGAUGCUUUGUGUGAAUUCUUCACCCCCGCAGAGACCUAGAAAGAAAGAAGUGGUUGCAUUGUUGAUGGAAGUUAAAGAGUUCACCUGCAGAAUGGGGGAAAACUUCACAACUAAUGAAGCAAUCAUCUACUCAUAGCUAUUUAAUGUCAGCCGUAUUAUUGAAGAAGACUUUUGAACUGAUCCGUUUCAACAUGUAGAGUUUUAAGAGGUUGGUUCUAAGUAAGUGUAUAAACAAGGCUUUUAACGACUUUUGGUGUAUAUAACAGUAAUUAACGUAGGACAAACAAUACGUGUAACACAACUAAUGUGGUUUUUAAGGAGAUUUUCAACGAAUUAUGAUCAUUGCAUAUUCAUGUA